This 1309-nucleotide ribosomal RNA is filed under the name uncultured bacterium. RNAcentral describes it as "bacterial SSU rRNA". It matches the Rfam family "Bacterial small subunit ribosomal RNA", at positions 94 to 1426 of the family's 1533-position model. The record is from RNAcentral.
AGUGGCAAACGGGUGAGUAAUGGGUUGGUAUCUGACCCGAAGCGUGGAAUAUCUUGGAGAAAUCCAAGCUAAUUCCGCAUGUGCCUGCAAAGGUAAAGGUUCCUUUCUGGAAUCGCUUCGGGAGGAGCCUGCCUCCUAUCAGCUUGUUGGUGAGGUAAUGGCUCACCAAGGCGAUGACGGGUAGCUGGUCCGAGAGGACGACCAGCCACAUCGGGACUGAGACACUGCCCGGACUCCUACGGGAGGCUGCAGUCAAGAAUCUUCCGCAAUGGGCGAAAGCCUGACGGAGCGACGCCGCGUGACCGAAGAAGCCCUUCGGGGUGUAAAGGUCUUUUCUAGGGGAAGAAGUCCUGCUUGGCGGGAUUGACGGUACCCCAGGAAUAAGAGGUUGCUAACUACGUGCCAGCAGCCGCGGUAAAACGUAGACCUCAAGCGUUAUCCGGAAUCAUUGGGCGUAAAGCGUCUGUAGGUGGUUUUCUAAGUUAGAUGUUAAAUCUAAAAGCUCAACUUUUAGGCUGUAUCUAAAACUGGAAAACUAGAGGAAAAGAGAGGUAAAUGGAACUUGUGGUGUAGUAGUGAAAUGCGUUAAUAUCACAGGGAACACCAAUAGCGAAGGCAGUUUACUAGCUUUUUCCUGACACUGAGAGACGAAAGCGUGGGGAGCAAAACGGAUUAGAUACCCGUGUAGUCCACGCUGUAAACGAUGGGUACUAGAUGCAGGAAGAGUCGACCCUUUCUGUUUCGAAGCUAACGCGUUAAGUACCCCGCCUAGGAAGUACGGCCGCAAGGCUAAAACUUAAAGGAAUAGACGGGGACCCGCACAAGCGGUGGAGCAUGUGGUUUAAUUCGACGAUAAGCGAAGAACCUUACCAGGGUUCGACUUCCAGGAAUUCUGCCGAAAGGCAGAAGUGCCUUUUUGGAGCCUGGAAUCAGGUGCUGCAUGGCUGCCGUCAGCUCGUGCCGUGAGGUGUUCCGUUAAGUCGGGUAACGAGCGCAACCCUUGUGCUAUAUUUGAUAUAAUAUAGCAGACUGCCGGCAUAUAGUCGGAGGAAGGUGGGGAUGACGUCAAGUCAGCAUGGCCCUUUGAUACCCUGGGCGACACACGUGCUACAAUGGCUCAGACAAAAGGUAGCCAAGCCGUAAGGCGGAGCUAAUCCUAAAAAAUGAGUCUCAGUUCGGAUUGAGGUCUGCAACUCGACCUCAUGAAGCUGGAAUCGCUAGUAACCGUGGGUCAGCACACCACGGUGAAUACGUGCUCGGGUCUUGUACUCACCGCCCGUCAAGUCAAGCGAGUUGGUAACACCUGAAA